ACGCCAAAGAGACCGAAUGAAGAUUGGGAUUCUUUGAACUCGAUGUCGCAGAAGAAGAGCUUACCAUAGGAUGAGGAGGAUUCGUCGGGGUUGUUGGUGAUGAAGGAAGAGGCCAGGAGAGAGAACUCGAGGUAGAGGUCUUGGAGGUGAAGCUCGUGCUUGUCAUGGAGCUGCUUGGCGUCGAAGAAGAUGAGGAGGGAGUAGGGGCGUGGAGUUUUGGUGGAGGUUAAGAAGCGAGAAACGGAGUGGUCAUCUAAGUGGAUUACGCCAUUUUUGGAUUGGGAUUGUUGAGAGAGGAGUUCGUUGACGAGCUCUUCUGGAUCAGAAGUGGAAGUGGCGAGAUACGCAAAGAGCGAGACGAGAGCUGUUAAGAG
Molecule: long non-coding RNA, 374 nt
Filed under: Manihot esculenta (cassava)
Lineage: Eukaryota; Viridiplantae; Streptophyta; Magnoliopsida; Malpighiales; Euphorbiaceae
Description: long non-coding RNA (MESC_LNC009374)
Source: RNAcentral